Molecule: long non-coding RNA, 737 nt
Filed under: Homo sapiens (human)
Lineage: Eukaryota; Metazoa; Chordata; Mammalia; Primates; Hominidae
Description: HSALNT0181230
Source: RNAcentral
UGGCUUCAGCCUUGAACCUCACCUUGAUUGCCACUUCCUUUGGGGAAACUCCUCUGAUGCUUUCCCUGGUGUAGGUAGCUCCCCCGCCUGAUGCCAUCACACCGUGGAACAGCCACAUUUCACUGUUAGGUCCUGGCCUCCCACAUCAGACUCUGAGCUCUACAAGGGCAGGCCUGUGCACCUGUGAUUCCACUUCCACCAUGUAGAUGAGGGCAAAGCCCCAUGACAGUGGUUCUUAAACUUGGCUGCUAUUGGAGUCAAUGUGUAGCCAAGUUUGGGAACUGCUGCUUUAGAAGAUGCCACAGAAACACGAUGGAAGGAACCUGUGACCCUGGAUGACUGUAUGAAGCAGAUCAUCCUGCCAACUGGGAACAUCCACCUUGAACAGUUACGUAAGAUAGGACUUGGACAUAUUUUUUAGAGAGAUACAGCUUAACCCCUGUCAGUGAAUAUUUUAUACAUAAUCCUAUUGCAUGCAGCCUUGAUUCAGGAAUAUUCUAGAGGUGGCACCUGCAAUCAAAGCCUCCUCCUGCUCACUGUCAGUAGUUCAGCUUUCUGUUCUGAGAGCCCAGACUUCCAGGUACUAGUCCUGAAGAAAAUGAAUUCUUCGAAGCUCGCCUGCAGAUUUCUUUUCUUGAGCACUACCCCUUCAUCCCUGCUUCCACAUGUGAGAUCCCCAGGGCUGGGAUAAAGGUGAAGUGAGCAAGUCAUCUAGGACACAACAUUGAAGGGGACAC